GCCCAGGCUGGAGUGCAGUGGCACGGUCUUGGCUUACUGCCAACCUCCGCCGCACAGGUUGAAGCAAUUCUCUCGCCUCAGCCGCCUGAGUAGCUGGAGUAGCUGGUAUUACAGGCGGCCCCGCCACAUCCGGGUACUUUUUUGUAUUUUUAGUAGAGACGCGUUUCGCCAUCUUGGUCCGGCUGUUCUCCGCCCGCCUCGGCCUUCUGAAGUGCUGGGUUUACAGCCGUAAGCCACCGCGCCGGGUUAGAGAGUCUUUUUCUGAAGUAUAUAAGGAGUAAUGUUUCUUUGCGGUAUGUAAAUGGUCUAGGGCUGUGAAUAUUGGCAAUGUAGAACUUCUUACCUACUCAACUUAUUCCUCAAGAGACUGGACUCAGUUUGGAAAUAAAAUUAUUUUUGAAAUGUCAUCUCUGAACAAACAGCUUAUGCAACUUCAAGCUUCAGUGGAAAGAAUCAGAACACAGAGAAAACUUGCCACUAGGACAAAAACGAAGGAAAGAAUCAGCCCAGGAUGGUGAUACCAGGGUUACAGGUCAGUGAGGGGCACAAAGAAGUGAAGCCAGAAGGGCAUAUAAUUAGAACCUAAUCACCACCUACUGAAAAGUUAAAUGCUUUUCAUUUCUAAAUGAAUCAACUUAAAUGUUGCAGGAAUCUGCAAAAGCUGACAAAACUACAUUAUGUCCUCAAACUUUUGUAAGUACUAUAAGUGAUUUUUAAAUUACUAAAUUUUAUUUCAUUGCAAAUUGACAAAUUAUAACUGCAUAAAGAAUUAUUGUAUGAUCCAGCAAUUCUGUUGGGUGUACAUUCAAAGGACAUGAAAUCAUUAGGUAAAGAGAUAUCUGCAUCCUCAUGUUCAUUGCAGCCUUGUUCAAAAUACCCAAGUGAUUGAAUCAGUCUGUAUCUGUCAACAGAUGAAUGGAGAAAGAAAACAUGCUAUCUAUACACAAUGGAAUACUAUUUAGCCUUAAAAAAGAAGGAAAUUAUGUCAUUGUGACAACAUAAAUAGUUAAAAUUAAAAAGUAAACAUUGCAAAAUGUUUAUUUGACAUAUUGAGUAUUUGGCAAAAUGACUUUUGGUGAAUUGGUUUUGAUAAAAUGACUAAACAGAUUUGGCAUAAUCAAUGAAAUGAUGCAUUAUAGUUUAAAAUAAUGAGGUAGAUCACACAAUGUGAUAUGACACAUUACUCAUUAAGUAAAAACCACAGAAAACAAAAUGAUACAUUUCUUUAGGUACAAAGAGUUAGAAUAUACUUUCAAAUAAUGAUAGGCUGUCUUUGGGAGAGGAGAGACUUUUGCCCCAAAUCUUAUAAGGGAAAUUUUACAUAUUAUUCAGAUGAUUAAGAUUAAAUUUUCCAUUUAUAUGUAGCAGGAAAUUUAAUUUAUAUCGUCCCCUAAUUUUGGGAUUUUGCUAGAGGUCCCAUGCUGAGGACCAUGACUGCUGAGGCCGAAAACAUUCUAGAUCAAGGUGAUAGACCAUAGCACUUACUCAGUGGUAACAUAACAGAACUUGUGGCCUUUGGCUCAUAAUCAGCUGCAAGCUAUGCAUAGUUGAAAAAAAUCAAGGAAGCAUUCAGGAGGGCAAGGUCAAUAAGCAGACAUUGACUUUUUGGACCAAAACUGGGCCAAAAGAUUGUUAAACAUGCUCCCACUUCUUCUCUGGGAAAUUGGCAAGUGCUUCCCCUGCAUAUAAAUUAAGCCAGGUAGGGGUGAUGUGCCCUGAAAACUUCUGCUGCCUCAGGAGUAUGAUGGUCCACAGAAUUCGAGAUUGUGAACAAUGUAGUUUGUUCUUGCAGAAGUACCAGUUACUACUGUGCUUGAUCGAAGAAUCAAUAAAAGUUUUUGAGGCAUGCUACUGUGAUCAGCAGGAUAAUGCCCUCCUCCCUGAAAAAUGUCUGUGUCCUAAUCCCCAGACCUUAAAUGACAAAGGAAAUACAAAGAUAUGAUUAAGUUAAGAUUUUGAAUGGUUAGAUUGUCUUGGAGUAAUCACAAGGGUCUUUAUAAGACAGAGGCAGGAGUGUCAGGAUGAGUGAAGGAAAUAUGACAAUAGAAAAAUCAAGGAAAUUUUCCAUCCAAAAUUUUAGAUGGAAAAAGUGUGUGUGUGUGUUUGUGUGUGUGUGUGCACAAAGUCAUUUUAUUCUCUUCCUCUCACCCUCUGUUGGACUUCUUUAUAAUGUGCCAGAUGUCCACAGAUUAUUCAGUUAUCUUAAUGAUUAAAUUAUAUAGUGUAGACUUCCAGAGAAUAAGACAAUUGGAGUAAAUCAUUGAUUCUAUGAUGUCAACAGUAAUUGCAAGAGAAGGAGACAGUAGAGGUUCACAGUGGCUGCAUAUAUGAAGAAAACUUCCAGGGACAGGGGAAUAGUAUAUGCAAAGACAUGAAGGGGUAAUGAUACAGCUGAUAAUGUGAUGUGUGCUUAUUGUAAGGUGAAGAAAGUAGCUGGGCUGGCUCCUUAAUGCUACCCUCCACAUCGGAGGAUAAAUGUUCUCUUCCAGAUUAGUCAUUGAGUUAUCAUGGAGAGAACAAAUACUUUUUAUCCAUUUUUGCAUUCACAUUCACGUUUAUAGACUUCACACUGGUUUGUUUGCUUUCACAAAAGAUAAAUUUCUCAUGUUUGAAAAAUUCUAAGUUACUGGCUUGGGACACUCAAAUAUCCUCAUAAUGUUAAUUGUUCCAGAAAUCACUAUUUGUCGUCAUUGCCUGAUUUCUGUUUCUUGGCUGUUACAGAGAGGCUGAAAUUUCAACCAUCAUUCUGUAAGAACUGCUUAGCAAUGCUUGGGUUGAAUUGGUUACAUAGGAAGCUUAGCUCAAUGCCUGUGUGCUGGUGUGAAAUGUGUUGCUCCUGUAUUAUGUCUGGUAUCUGCCAGCUAAAAGAACAGAAGACCUUCCGGGAACUAGAGUUUCUGAGAGCAAGGCGUUUUGGAGGAUUGCUUUUGUUUUGACUUCUUGAACUUUAAGCAAUCCCAUAGAUCUUGCUUUGGAAAUACAACGUGAGUAGAGGUUUCAUGAAUCACUUCCUGGUUGAAGUGUUAAAGUGAAUAUAUGUGACUUUUCGUGCUGUCCCUUAUCUUGCUGUUGUGGUUAUUGAAGCUCUGAUGAUAUGGAAGUGUAACCUGCGACAUUGACCUCCACCAUGUAGGCCAGUUGUCCUGGAGAACUGCCUAAACCCAGCAGAAAUUAUGUGAAAGAGAAAUAAAUUGUAAAUGCAUUAAGUACUGAGAUUUGGGGCCUGUUUAUCACCACAAUAUUUACCCACCCUAUCAUGUCUGACAAAGAGAAGAACUUUUUUUAGAAUGUGCUAACAGCUAGUAGAUUCACAGUAAAAAAAAAAAAAAAGCAUAAUAAGGUAAAAAAUCAACAGAAAACAUGAUACUUAUAGAAUUCCUCAAAAGAAUUAUGUAGGGCUGCUAUCUUAAAUAGAAUUUUAAUAACUAGAAAAGAAUAUUUAUUCUUACUAAUAUGCCCAUAUCUACAUAUUUUAAGUGGUAAAUCACUAUAGAAUUUCAACAGUUUGUCAAAAAAAUCAGUUAUAGGAAGAAAAAUUUAGUUAAUGGAAUCUGAAAUAAAAAUGUGAUAUAAUACAGUUUAAAUUAUUAGCAAUAUAUUACUACCUCAGUUUUUUAAAAAGUUAUGUUUCAUAAACCUACAAUUUUUUUUUUAAGCAUUAUCAUCUGUGAUACAAUGAAAUAGUGAAUUGACUGGAGCCAGUAAAAUAAUAAGUCUAUUAUUUUAACAUUGUUACAGAUACAAACAUAACACACUAUGUUUCCCUCUAUGUUUGUUUGCCUUUUUAAGUUGUAGCACAACAGAAUAUGAGCUUUAAAACUGAAGCCUGAAUUUGAUGGAACAUUCUGUUUUCAAAAGAAAAUUAAAAACUAAAAUACCUAGAUUUUGUUUCCCUCCUGAACUGGGGAUGUCAGAGCUGGGUUAAAUAAAGCUCACAGGCUUGGUCUUUACAUGGCAGUCAUUAAUUUUUCAUGAGGCUGAAAUUGAGAUAGUAUGGAAGAUUUCCCCAUUGUGUCACACUGAAUGUUUGAAUUUGGUUUGGCCAACUUUCUCCAGAACAUAACUUUUUUUUCCUUGCCCUAAACCCUAAAGCACCAUUUGUGAAUCUGGCAAAUUUCUGAACCACUUAAAUUCAGGAUUCAUAGUUUAUUAUAUCAACUAAGUUUCUAGACUUUCUUGGAUAAAUCAAAGUAGUCAGCUUUGACAAAUUGGAAAAAACUAUCUAACACUUAAUAACCUUAAGGAAAUUCUGCUAUUCUAUUUAUCCCUGUUAAAGAAGAGAACGGUAUGCUUUCCAUUUAGAAAUUAUUAAAACUAUAGCUAUGUUUUUAAAAAAUCAUAAAGAAGAAACCGUUAUAUAUGCAUACAUAUAUAAACAGAUACACAGAAUCUACAGAUGAUAAUUGGGAAUUAUUUUAUAAUGACUUUAUACCAAUUAUAUCUUAAAUAAAAGAAGAAACAUAGAUAAGGAAAAUAAAUUUGGGCAGAACACACUUCAAAAGAAAUAACUUCAUCAUAAAAUUUCAAUCAUAUCUUCAUUAUUAUUCUCCCUGUACUGUUGUAGCACAUAUUUUUAAAUUGAGUCACAAAGGAUUUUUUUUUCAGGCUUAAAUUGCUAAAACUAUUUGGAGCAUGAAAGAAAAGAUCAAAAGGGCCAACUGGGAACAAAACAUAGUGAUCAGAAUUGAAGAUAAGCCACAACACAUAAUAAUCCUAAUUACCAAUCUUUAAUUAAACUACAGGGAGAAUUUAUGUCCCAAAUAAACUUUCUCACAGCUUUUCUGGACUUCAAGAUUGAACGUUUUGAUAUGUAUAAAUAACAACAGGCAAAGAGGAAGCUUAUUAUUUAGUUUCUUAUGAUAUACAGAAAUUUAAACUUAGGAAUAGCGUAUGUUAAAUGCAAAGUUCAAAACAAAAUAUGAUAUUCAAGGGUGUUGUUGGAAAAUAUUUGAAAUUAACAAGCCAAUUAAUUCUGACAAAAUUGACAAAUUUAUGAAUGCCCAACUGAUGAAUUAAAGAACAGAAUAUAUUGGCAGUGCUUUAUUGAAUUCAUUUAGAAAUAAUCUACUGCUGCAAAGUAGAUUUCUCUGGAGAAAAACCAGCAAAGCCAAAUGGGUUUUAUGUGGUUGGAUAUGUUAUUAAUGUAAGUUAGCUUCAACUCGAAAGAGUAGGCCUAUUCAAAGUAUAUUGAAUAAAUUUCAUGUUUCUCAUUUUCCUGGCUAUUGGACUGAGUUUUGCUUUUUUCUGACCCUAGUUUUGCUCUCUUCUUGGAGAGCAUUAGUCAAGGAGGUAAUUGCAUUGAGUCUAACUUUUCCCAGUAAGGAAGAUCUAAUGUUAAUUUUCAUGUGUGUUAAAUCUAAUCAACAUUGCACAGUGUUAUAGUUCUCCCAGUAACUGAACAUUUCUUCUAAAACAGUUUGUGUGUGAGUGUGUGUGUGCCUAAUUAUUUAUUGCACUUUUUAGUUUGAGUUUUUUUCCCUUUGCUUGAAUUUUUCAGAAAUUUCUAGAGAAGUAACAUACUGUGGUAUAAUAUCUGACAGUUCUUUGCUAGGAACUUACUUCACUCUCACAAAUGGAACCCCUGUGGCUGUGUUUACACACUGUGAUCCUAGCUGUUUCUCCCAGUGUUGGAAUGUUGGUCUGAUAUAUGGAAUAGUGAGUAGCAUUAGAAGGAUAGCCUUAGCAAUAGUAGAGCUUUUAAGGUGGGGUAGUUAAACCCUGCCAUUGAGAUUAGGAGGUUUUCUUGGUAGAAAACUUGGAAGAAAAUUUUUUCUCUUGGAUUGGAUUCUGUGAGACAUGAUGGCCUAAUGUUUCAUAUAAAAUAGUUGUAAUUUAUUGUUUUCUUGUUUUCCUUAAGUCAAUCCGCAUUAGUGACUAUUCUCUCAAAAAUUCUAAUACCCAAGUAAUACCAAAGCAUUGGCAUGGCAAUCCAGCAUAAAUAUCAUCAGUGCUGACAUUAUCUUUCAUUUCAAAACAUAGAAAGAUAUACAUAUUGUUUUUGAUGGCUUUUUCUGAACAGAGCCUUCUUACCAAUGCCCCAACCUAUCAAGCUAUUUUAAGUAAUGCAGUCUUGAGUGAACAACACAUAUUUUAAUGAGAAUAUUACAAGUACCAUAGGUAAAUUCUAGUAACAGUUAAUGGCAUUCCUUGUCAUUGUGGUGAUAUUGUUCUCUAUGUGACUAUAGGAAAUUGGUUAAAAUUGUGUGAAGCUGCUAGUGAACUCAUUCAGUCUGACAAUAUGUUUAAGUAGCUAUCUCUUUUAGUAUAGAGAAAAUAUCUGGAAAAGCAAUCUUUCAUUUUAAUUCUGAGAACUUGGUAACCUUCUGUGUCCUGGUUCAAUUUUUAAAACUUUGAUUCAAACCAGGUUACUGUAUGUCAUUCUUCCCUGUUUUUUUUUAACAUUAAAAACAAAGAACUGAACCUUGUUCUCCUAAAAAACAUUAACUCAUAGGAUACAACAGUCUUGAAAAUGACAGUUUGAGAGGAAUAAGGCCUAUGACAAGUGAAUUCUGGGAACAUAAAGUGCUUAAAACCCCAAAUAUAGAUUCAAUAUGACAAGAUUGACCUCCAGUAAAGGAAAAGUAAAAUCUGCUUCUGGUCCUGAAAUGCGUUAUGCAUUUUCUCCGGCGAGAAUUAUGUUAUCCUUUAUUAUCAGGAAACUUUCUGCAUUUUUUUCCCCAAAGCUUAAUAAGAUCAUGUUAAGUAUGUGAAACAAAGAUUAUUUAUAUAAAUAUUGCUUUUAAUGAUGACAUGAAUUGUUUUGAAAUAAAAUUGCACAGUUAAGAAGAUCAAAGCAGCCACUGUUCACUCUAGUUUCAUGUCUCUUUCUCAUUCCUUCUUAGCAUAUCCAUUGGUGGUUGGUUCCCACACUCUUUAGGGAGAGUGGUUAGACGCCAGCAACCACUUCUCAGUUACCUUGUUAAUGUUUAUUUGAGAAUACUUUCUAAUGAAUAUUUUUAAUAAUGAAUAAAAAAUUAGAAAUUAUUUAUUUGGUUGCAAGAAGGAGAUCUUUUUGGAAUGAUGCCAGGAGGGGAGACACAUUAAUUUUAAUGAUUGUCCACACAGGACUUUACUAUCAGUUUUAAAGACUUGAAAGAAAACUGGCAAACUAGGCUGUGUCUCAGACUUUGAGGGAAUUACCAGAAAAUGAGAAAAGCCACACAAAGAAGGCAAUUUAAUCAAAAGAGAAAAUAAGUAUGAAAAAAUGAAGAGGAGUAGAUUUAGUUUCUUUAAGUUUUUGAUCUCCAAAGUUACUUGAUAGAGGGAAUGAGGCACGAUCAUGGGUUUCAACAGCUCAAGCCAAAUACAAAUAUUUUAAUAAAUUAUUUCCCUUAUAUUAUGUUGGGUUGAAUAUGCUUUACAUACAGCUCAUUUUUUGUGAGACUAAUGACUUUUUUGAAAGGCUUUAAGUAAGGGAAAUAUUGUUUAAUAAUAGAAAAAAGCAAUUCUUGGGGAAAAUUAAUGAGGAUAAUGUGAAGAUGACAAAAAUAGUGAUAAUCCUCCUUCUAUAGUCUUUGGAAACUAUACCUCACAUAUGUUGAGGGUUCUAACUAUUAAAAUAUGGCCUGAAUAUUAAAACUGAUAAUAAAACUGUGUCUGAACUUGUAGUUGGAAGGUAAUAAAGUGCCAUUUUUAAACACUUAACUUUGGAAGUUUGGACAAAAUGAAGACAACUCAAGAAAAUAUUGUUACUAUUACUACAACUGCUACUAAAUGUUUUAUAGCAAAUAAAACAGGAAAAUAAAAUAAUUGUUUAAAUGUAUUGAGGAACAUAGAAAAAGAGAUAAAUAUAGAUAUUAGUUCAAUAAAGACAUCUUCAGCAGAGGAACAGCAAUAACAAAACACAGACAGUUUUAAAUAAAAUGAAAUAUUGCUUGCCAAGGUUGCAGAAAAACAAUAUCUGAUAGGAGCAUACAUAUGAGUAUGUUAUUGGUAAGAAAAUUAUGUGUAAAAAUAUAAGUAUAUAUAUGUACAUAUACAAACACAAGGAUACAAUUGUAAUAUAUAUACAUAUUACAAUUUUAUCGAUAUGCCUUAGAUAGCAGUGGUAAAAAGAUCACCUGAUUACAUGAUUACAUAUUCAUUGGAAAAUUGUUUUUCCAUAAAUACCUUCUUAAACUUUUGGUCUCUAGUUGAAUAUGUUCUAAAAGAGACAUUAUACUCGGUACUGUAAUGCCAUUUUGACUUGAAGAAUCAAAGAAGUUGUACCUUUCUUUGUA
Molecule: long non-coding RNA, 8219 nt
Organism: Callithrix jacchus (white-tufted-ear marmoset)
Lineage: Eukaryota; Metazoa; Chordata; Mammalia; Primates; Cebidae
Source: RefSeq, a predicted model, not a curated record